AUGUCAAGCUCGUCCAUCUCAAGAUCGACGGGCGGGUCAUCUCGCAGGCAGAGCCACACCCCGGUGCCGUACCGACAGACUCCUCUAGCAUACGAGCCGGCGAAGUUUUGCUUGUGCGCUCCGAGGGCAAAAGCGCCGAUGUGGAUCUCGUGGAGUGAUUCCAACCCAGGGAGGAGAUACCUUGCCUGUCCAAGGGGGAGGGUGAGUUCAUCUUACUCCAUCAUUUUCCAUAUGCACUACUUUAAUUGA
This 249-nucleotide ribosomal RNA is filed under the name Triticum aestivum (bread wheat). RNAcentral describes it as "partial small subunit ribosomal RNA". Lineage: Eukaryota; Viridiplantae; Streptophyta; Magnoliopsida; Poales; Poaceae. The record is from RNAcentral.